Molecule: transfer RNA, 60 nt
Filed under: Myotis lucifugus (little brown bat)
Lineage: Eukaryota; Metazoa; Chordata; Mammalia; Chiroptera; Vespertilionidae
Rfam family: tRNA
About the family: Transfer RNA (tRNA) molecules are approximately 80 nucleotides in length. Their secondary structure includes four short double-helical elements and three loops (D, anti-codon, and T loops).
Source: Rfam by way of RNAcentral
UUGGCUCAGUGGAUAGAGCAUUGGCCUGCAGACCAAAAGGUCCUGGGUUCAAUUCCAGGA